AGAGUUUGAUCCUGGCUCAGGACGAACGCUGGCGGCGUGCUUAACACAUGCAAGUCUAGGGGGCCCAGCAAUGGGUCACCGGCGAACGGGUGCGUAACACGUGAGCGACCUACCUUGAGAUGGGGGAUAGCCGGCCCAACGGCCGGGUAAUACCGCAUACGCUCUUCGGGCUUCAUGGCUUGGAGAGGAAAGCUUUAGCGUCUCUAGAGGGGCUCGCGGCCUAUCAGCUAGUUGGUGAGGUAACGGCUCACCAAGGCUAUGACGGGUAGCUGGUCUGAGAGGAUGGCCAGCCACAUUGGGACUGAGAAACGGCCCAGACUCCUACGGGAGGCAGCAGUGGGGAAUAUUGCGCAAUGGUCGAAAGACUGACGCAGCGACGCCGCGUGGAGGAUGACGCCCUUCGGGGUGUAAACUCCUGUUGCUCGGGACGAAACCCCCUUUCGAGGGGACUGACGGUACCGAGUGAGGAAGCACCGGCUAACUCUGUGCCAGCAGCCGCGGUAAUACAGAGGGUGCGAGCGUUGUCCGGAAUCACUGGGCGUAAAGGGCGCGUAGGUGGCUUGGUAAGCGUGCGGUGAAAGCUCGAGGCUCAACCUCGAGUCUGCCGUGCGAACUGCCGAGCUGGGGCACGGUAGAGGCACAUGGAAUUCCGGGUGUAGCGGUGGAAUGCGUAGAGAUCCGGAAGAACACCGGUGGCGAAGGCGGUGUGCUGGGCCGUAGCUGACACUGAGGCGCGACAGCGUGGGGAGCAAACAGGAUUAGAUACCCUGGUAGUCCACGCCGUAAACGAUGGGCACUAGGUCCUUGGGGGAGCGACCCCUUGAGGGCCGUCGCAAACGCAUUAAGUGCCCCGCCUGGGGAGUACGGCCGCAAGGCUGAAACUCAAAGGAAUUGACGGGGGCCCGCACAAGCGGUGGAGCAUGUGGUUUAAUUCGACGCAACGCGAAGAACCUUACCUGGGCUUGACAUGGCCGGGAAUUUCCGGGGAAACCUGGAAAGCUCUUCGGAGCUCGGUCACAGGUGCUGCAUGGCUGUCGUCAGCUCGUGUCGUGAGAUGUUGGGUUAAGUCCCGCAACGAGCGCAACCC
This 1087-nucleotide ribosomal RNA is filed under the name uncultured bacterium. RNAcentral describes it as "bacterial SSU rRNA". It matches the Rfam family "Bacterial small subunit ribosomal RNA", at positions 8 to 1104 of the family's 1533-position model. The record is from RNAcentral.